RNAcentral lists this long non-coding RNA (1129 nucleotides) under Gossypium barbadense (sea-island cotton). Its description in RNAcentral is "long non-coding RNA (GBAR_LNC004143)". Lineage: Eukaryota; Viridiplantae; Streptophyta; Magnoliopsida; Malvales; Malvaceae. The record is from RNAcentral.
AAAGAUCAAUGUAGGAGGGUAGGGACUCUUCGCGCAAAUAUCCCUUUUCCGUAGAAAACACGUGAAUCCUGAGGACACCGGGUCAGGUUGAAGCGGGUCCUCGGGUCAUGCCAUUAUACGGCACCGUUCUGGAGCCACUAAAGCAGGCCCUAAACGGUGUCGUUUCAUGCCCUCUAUAAAAGCAAAACAAACCUUAAAAUGAACACUUAAGCAUUCUAAAAAAUCAAAAAAAGAAAAAAGAACCCUAAGCCUCUAUUUCACUUUCGGCCGCAUCAUAAGCACACCGCCCCCAACCACCAUUUCGCCACCGACCCUAUUUGAAUCCCCAUCCGAGCUUCGACUUCAACGAAGCAAACAAGGAUUCGAAGGCCACUAAAAGGUAAGUCCCUUCCCUUUUAUAAAUUUUUACAUGCAGUGGAAAAAGAUUGAGGAAAUAGAAACAAAAAUCAACGAAGAACGGGAUCUAAAAUCACCUUUAAAAAACUGAUUUCGAAUUGAUUUCUAUUCUUUCAAUAUAUGCCCCCCUUUUCUUUGUUUACAAUCGGCCUUAUAUAGCCGAAACAAAAAAAUACGAAAUUACAAUAUCAUUUUUUUUCGUUAUUUCUCUGUUGUUUUUGUCGUUUUUUUUUUCUUCUCGCAGGUUCUACUGAUGCGGGGAGUGUCGUACGGAGGAGAAGCCAUUCAGUGACGUGGAGGCCUGCUUCCAGGCUAGCAAGUUGCAGCGCAAAGGGAAAGAAGCUCUUAGGGUUUCUGCUCACAAAUGUCUUGGGCCGUUUGGGCCUUAUAUUUCUUUUGGGCUAGGUCUAGCUAGGGUUUGCUGAAUGGUUUUUAGGUUUUAGGCUGGCAUUUGGGUUAUUCGUUUGGUUUGACGUUGGGUUUAUUUUUGGUUUGGGCCUCAAGACUUGGGUUUGUAUCUAAAUAUAUCACAUAAACAAUACUAAAUGCACUACAAUUAUUUAUCAUGAUUUUUGUCAUCAAUUAUGAAUUAGUGUCGAGUUGACUUAUGAUACAAACUCAAUAAAUAUUAUUGAUACAUACAAUUGAUAUAUACAAUUGAAAGAAAUAAUAAAUUGUGCAUAUUAAAAUAAAUAUAUAUAAAAUACUUUAGUUAAGUAGUAAAUUUAUUUUU